This is an RNA transcript of Carya illinoinensis, 1432 nucleotides long. It is a transcript of the gene named histone-lysine N-methyltransferase ATXR4, with no coding region annotated. Lineage: Eukaryota; Viridiplantae; Streptophyta; Magnoliopsida; Fagales; Juglandaceae. The transcript is spliced from 8 exons. The record is from RefSeq and is a predicted model, not a curated record.
UAUAUAUGAACAGAAAAAGCCUGAAGGCACCUCGAGUAUCUCUCUGCGUCUUUAGGGGUUAAUCUCUGAUCCGACCCUCUCGCAAAGAAGUUGGACGCGCUUGGGAAAAUGUCGGCCCUGGCCCUGGGCCGUUGGGCUUCGCGGUUCAAAAUAUUGCAUUCGCAGGCGACGCUAUUUCGGACAUCCUCCUCCACCUACUUCUUCACCAGCAGCACAGCUAACAAGAGUGAGGAUCCGGUUCGACCUGAACCGCCUCCGAUCCGGGUCUCUCUAACCGAGUCGGCUGGUAGAGGCGUGUUUGCCACUCGGAGAAUUGGAGCCGGAGAUCUCAUCCACACCGCGAGGCCCCUCGUUGCCCACCCUUUGCUUUCUACAACUCAUAGCGUCUGUUACUUCUGCCUCAGAAAGCUGAAAGCUACUUCUCAAACUCAAGCUAUCCAGUUUUGUAGCAAUGAAUGCGAAGAACAAUCCAUGGGUUUUUACAAUGUUGAGAGGAGAGCAAACUGGUCAGACUAUGAUAAUUAUUGCCGAAUGCACGGUUUGAAGUACCCACUUCUGGUGAAACGGUUAGCUUGUAUGGUCAUAUCAGGAGUUGCAGCUGCUGACAGUUUUGACAUUCUUCAACCGGAAAGUUUAUCUCCAGUAAUGGUUUCAGAGAUGGAAGAGGGGUUUAACUUACUAAGGGGUGCCUUCACAAAGGCAAAUAUCUGCGAUGAACAGGUAGCUUUUCUAACCAAGACAUGGUACACUAGCGUUUUGGCACGUAUUCGUAUUAAUGCGUUUCGUGUUGAAUUGGCUGGAGGAUUGUAUGAAGAUCUUCUUACAUCAGCCGCUGCCUCUGUAGAAGCUGAAGCUGCUGUUGGUAAUGCUGUGUAUAUGCUUCCAUCGUUCUACAAUCAUGACUGUGAUCCCAAUGCACACAUUUUAUGGAUUGAGAAUGCAGAUGCCAGAUUGAAGGUCCUUCGUGAUGUUGAGGCAGGGUGUAAGAGUGCUGCACCAGUUGGACAACGAGACCAUCUCUCCUUUUUGUGUUGCUAGAUAGAUUGACAGUUUCUCAAAGGCUGUCCAGUUUCUCUUAGAUGAAGCAUGUAUCUUCAUGCUUGUACACGGGAGCCCUUCUGAACUGAAUUUAUUAGAUUGAGGAAAAGGAGCGUAUCAAGUUUGUUAGUUGAGACAAAGCAUUGUUAUGAUUAUAUGCACACCUCUGGGAAGCUGGGAGAAGAGCUUCGGAUCUGCUAUAUUGAUGCAAGUAUGGAUCGUGAUGCUCGGCAAACUCUCCUGUCCCAGGGGUUUGGUUUUCAGUGCAAUUGUUUUCGGUGCUCCUCUGGUGAUUAAGAGUCAUUCCUGUUCCUUUGAAUGCGUAUGAUUUGACAUUAUCCGCGUAUAUUUUGCAUUCUCUGAUGCUUUAAUCAGUAGUGUACUAGUUGUUUAA